AAAAGACCYUAGCAAUAGGUAUGCUUAGGGAGGAGCUUGCGUCACAUUAGUUAGUUGGUGGGGUAAAGGCCUACCAAGACUAUGAUGUGUAGCCGGGCUGAGAGGUUGAACGGCCACAUUGGGACUGAGACACGGCCCAAACUCCUACGGGAGGCAGCAGUAGGGAAUUUUCGGCAAUGGAGGAAACUCUGACCGAGCAACGCCGCGUGAACGAUGAAGUAUUUCGGUACGUAAAGUUCUUUUAUUAGGGAAGAAUAAAUGAUGGAAAAAUCAUUCUGACGGUACCUAAUGAAUAAGCCCCGGCUAACUAUGUGCCAGCAGCCGCGGUAAUACAUAGGGGGCAAGCGUUAUCCGGAAUUAUUGGGCGUAAAGGGUGCGUAGGCGGUUAAAUAAGUUUAUGGUCUAAGUGCAAUGCUUAACAUUGUGAUGCUAUAAAAACUGUUUAGCUAGAGUAAGAUAGAGGCAAGUGGAAUUCCAUGUGUAGUGGUAAAAUGCGUAAAUAUAUGGAGGAACACCAGUAGCGAAGGCGGCUUGCUGGGUCUUUACUGACGCUGAGGCACGAAAGCGUGGGGAGCAAACAGGAUUAGAUACCCUGGUAGUCCACGCCGUAAACGAUGAGUACUAAAUGUUGGGUAAAACCAGUGUUGAAGUUAACACAUUAAGUACUCCGCCUGAGUAGUACGUACGCAAGUAUGAAACUUAAAGGAAUUGACGGGACUCCGCACAAGCGGUGGAUCAUGUUGUUUAAUUCGAAGGUACCCGAAAAACCUCACCAGGUCUUGACAUGCUUCUGCAAAGCUGUAGAAACACAGUGGAGGUUAUCAGUUGCACAGGUGGUGCAUGGUUGUCGUCAGCUCGUGUCGUGAGAUGUUGGGUUAAGUCCCGCAACGAGCGCAACCCUUAUUGUUAGUUGCCAGCACGUAAUGGUGGGGACUUUAGCAAGACUGCCAGUGAUAAAUUGGAGGAAGGUGGGGACGACGUCAAAUCAUCAUGCCCCUUAUGACCUGGGCUACAAACGUGAUACA
This 1025-nucleotide ribosomal RNA is filed under the name Cassava witches'-broom aster yellows phytoplasma. RNAcentral describes it as "bacterial SSU rRNA". It matches the Rfam family "Bacterial small subunit ribosomal RNA", at positions 202 to 1229 of the family's 1533-position model. The record is from RNAcentral. Lineage: Bacteria; Bacillati; Mycoplasmatota; Mollicutes; Acholeplasmatales; Acholeplasmataceae.